CUUUUCACUUCAGCAAAGUUGGUUUUAUUAGCUCUACUUCCCCCAAUUUGGUAGUAAUCCAGCUCACAAAUCCAUCCUUACAGCCUACUAAUCCAUGUUACAUCCUACUAGUUAAUGAUUGUCUUCUAAAUGAGGAAUGCCUUCCAAUUAUUUUUAUGUGCAAAUACAAUACUGCCGGUGCUUAAACAUCAAUAAUGGUAAAAACAAUAUGGUAAUUGCUCUAGACUGAACGUUUGUAUUUCUCUCAAAUUCAUAUGUUGAAGCCCUCAACCCCAAUGUGGCUGUAUUUUGAGAUAGAGCAUUUACAGGAGUAAUUAAGGUUAAAUGAGUCCACGAGGGUAGGGCUCUGAUCCAAAAGAAAUAGUGUCCUUAUAACGAGAGGAACCAGAGAGCUCUCUCUCUCUGCCAUGUAAGAAUACAGUAAGAAGGUUGCUGUCUACAAACUAAGAAGAGGGCCCUCACCAGAAUUCAAUCAUGCUGGCACCUUAUCUUGGACUUUCAAGCUCCAGAAUUGCAAGAAAAUAAAUUUCUGUUCUUUAAGCCA
Molecule: long non-coding RNA, 544 nt
Filed under: Pan troglodytes (chimpanzee)
Lineage: Eukaryota; Metazoa; Chordata; Mammalia; Primates; Hominidae
Description: lincRNA
Source: RNAcentral